Molecule: ribosomal RNA, 253 nt
Filed under: uncultured bacterium
Lineage: Bacteria
Description: partial 16S ribosomal RNA
Rfam family: Bacterial small subunit ribosomal RNA
Source: RNAcentral
UACGUAGGUCCCGAGCGUUGUCCGGAUUUAUUGGGCGUAAAGGGAGCGUAGGCGGACUUUUAAGUGAGAUGUGAAAUACUCGGGCUCAACUUGAGUGCUGCAUUUCAAACUGGAGGUCUAGAGUGCAGGAGAGGAGAAUGGAAUUCCUAGUGUAGCGGUGAAAUGCGUAGAGAUUAGGAAGAACACCAGUGGCGAAGGCGAUUCUCUGGACUGUAACUGACGCUGAGGCUCGAAAGCGUGGGGAGCAAACAGG